RNAcentral lists this unclassified non-coding RNA (2725 nucleotides) under Leishmania donovani. RNAcentral describes it as "gene:LdHU3.09.0190(CDS-product:hypothetical_prote in_conserved)". The record is from RNAcentral. Lineage: Eukaryota; Euglenozoa; Kinetoplastea; Trypanosomatida; Trypanosomatidae.
CUGGCUUCUGUGCAGGCGCAUGAGCGUGUGUGUGCUGGGAUCAAGGGCUGCAGACUCAGCAGCGGCCUCAUUAAGUAAGCGCGUCUGCUAGUGUAUCGCUCUUUCUCGCUGUGUGCUGCGUGGGUCUUUAAGUGAGAAGAAGCGGUCUCGCUCGCUGCCUGCCUGCCUGCCUGCCACGCACACGCACACGCACAGCAGUCCCACACGCACACGCAUCAACUAGAGGAGGUGCGGACGCUCAUCGCUGGCGUGGUGUUUUGCGGUGCGGGUCAUCUCACAACACCCAUCGAUCGAAACGCGGGAUGGCGGAAGUGCGGCAACAGCAGAGUAGCCGGGCUGUCAGCAACGUCGUCGAGUACCUUCAGCUGGCAGGGCGGCGCUACCGCGAGCACGUAGAGCUCCUCCGGCAGGAGCAGGCGGUGCGAGAUGCCCAGCAUGCACCGUUCAAACCCAACGUAUCUUUGUAUGCCGAGCGGGUGGGUAAGAGUUCUCUGGCGCGGCAGUCGUCGUCCAUCGGCGCGCGCCUGCACGAGCUUCAUCAGAAGAAGCUCGCACUCUUGGAAGAAGAGGCGCAAGAGGAGGCGAAGCGGCGCGCGGCGGCCGAGGCGCAGGACUGCCCUUUCUCUCCCACCGUUACGCCACAUGCGGCGCGGUCUCGUCGCACCGGGAGCGACGUCGCAGCGGCUCUCAUGCAAUGGGGAGAACAACGUCGCGCCCGCCAAGCCCGGGCACAGGUGGAGGCGGCACGCGACGAGCUCAGCAAGGUAUCCGCCGCGCCGCGCAUCACGGCGUACGCAGAUGAGAAGGCGAGGGCCGAGCGCGGCGGCGUUUCAGUGGAGGUCUCCCUGACCGCUGAGGCCGAGGCACGACGACAGCGCCGUCACGCUGCGUUCGAAAAGGCGUACCCUGCUGCCUCCUCCUCCAGCGGUGCCACCUCAGCGAGGCGCUUCUCCCCUUCCAUCUCGGCCUACGCCUCGCGGAUCGAAUUCGAAGAGGAUGUGGUAAGUCGCCUAUACGAGCGCCACGGCAGCCGUGGCCACUUGGCGCCACGCGACCGCCUGUACGACGAGGAGGUCGCCCUCUACUGCACCUUCCACCCCAAGCUCUCUGCCCGGUCGACGGAGCUGUCACGACGGUACUACGAGGAGGAGGGCGAGGCGGACACAGACCCGCACGAGCGGCUUUUCCGCAACACGCACCACGCGUCCAAGUACCGGAAGCCGGCGCAGCUGAGCGUCUUCACCGGGCAGCCAGAGAUAAGCGACGCGUCACGGCGCAUAGUGGAGGAGCGGCGUCGGCAACUAGCGCUGGAUGGGCAGCCGGGGGCUCUGGGUCUCAGCCCGGGUAGCCGCCUGUGUCCGGGAACCGCCAGUUUCGCUGCGGCACAGGCGACGAAGACGUCCAAGAAGAAAGUUUUGUCGGCUCGGGAUACCGAGGCGCAGGAAACGGUGACCUUUACCCCCUCUGUGAGCCCCGCAUCAGAAGCGCUGUGGCGUCAGCGGGUGUCGGCCCUGAAGGCGAGCGGUGUGGCUCGCAACACCGAGGAGGCGCGGCAGCUACUGUGGCGCAAGGCAGAAAAGCGCAAGGAGGAAGAGGUGCUGAAGUUGCAGGACCAGCGACGGCGGAAAGAGGCUGCAGAGUGCACCUUCCGGCCCAAGGCUGGACGGCCACCGCAGCGCAGCUCUGGCUACGUAGCGAUGCCUGUCGAAGCACGAGCAGCGUUGUGGGCGCAGCAGCGUGACCGCCACCUCGCCGAUCUGCGCACCGAACUCAGCGAGAUUACAGUCGAGGAGUGCACUUUUCGGCCUCAUGUUGAUCCCGUGUUCCCGCUGCCCCGCGGUGACGCCAAACCAGCGUGGGGUGUGGAGGCGUUCCUGGAGCGGCAGGCGGAGGCCAGGCGGCAGCGGGAGGAGGCGGAGCAGUGGUGGCGGCCAAAGUACGCACGAGCGCCAGUGGCCCGAACCUCGCGUGUUUCUCGCUGGCGCUCGCCGUCCAGCCGCGGCGCCAGCCAGCCUUCGACGCAGAGGACAGUGAGUGCCUCGCGCAGGAGCGCCGCCAGCAGCACUGCGUCUGAGGCAGAGGACAAUAAGAGAAAAGAAGAGGGUGUAUUCGAGCAGCACUGGGCACGUCCGCCAGCGAGCACCUCUUUGACCGCAUCUUCAUUUUCGCGAGUGUCGCAGCAGGAAGUGCCAUCGGCGGAGUCGUCGCCGGCCUACGUGGCGCCGCAGCAGCCAAACACCCUCUUCCCGUACACGGUUGACAUUUCACCGAGUGGACCAUAUCCGUGGCGCCCAACGACGGCCGCCGGUGCUUCAGAAGCCGCUGCCGGGGAGGGCGGCAGUCGCGCCUCCGCGGCCUUCUCGUGGCGUAAACCGCUCCGCUACCGUCCGAUUUCCGCGACUGCGACAGCGUCGCGUGGGCGGUCGUCUGCGUUGUGAGCGCUGACUGCAUGGCGUGUUCGAGCGCUCUUUUUUUCUGUUGGAAGCUGUGCGGCGAAGGCUGAAGAGGAGUGCCUGGGUACGGACAGCAGAGGAAGGCCACUUCACCCUGCUGCCCCCUCCCGACACAUACACAUGUCCCCUUCCCUGCUGCCUCCGCUGGCUGGCUGAGACGCCAUUGAGUCCGCUCUAGGCUGAUUUCGCAGUUACUGUCCCCCCCCCCACUUCCACCUGUGUGUGCGCGUGUGCGGCUUUUACUAGAUGGUGUUGAGCUACCUUUCCUAGAC